GGUUCUUAUAGUUGAACACACAACAGUAGCCCUUCACGCAACAAGUUUGAGAUAAUAACUCAAUAAGAAUG
RNAcentral lists this transfer RNA (71 nucleotides) under Anneissia pinguis. Its description in RNAcentral is "tRNA-Glu". The record is from RNAcentral. Lineage: Eukaryota; Metazoa; Echinodermata; Crinoidea; Comatulida; Comatulidae.